This 29-nucleotide non-coding RNA is filed under the name Rattus norvegicus (Norway rat). Lineage: Eukaryota; Metazoa; Chordata; Mammalia; Rodentia; Muridae. The record is from RNAcentral.
UCUUGAGAAAGGACCACAUCUGAGUUACU